Molecule: long non-coding RNA, 679 nt
Filed under: Rosa chinensis
Lineage: Eukaryota; Viridiplantae; Streptophyta; Magnoliopsida; Rosales; Rosaceae
Description: sRNA RchiOBHm_Chr7g0231691
Source: RNAcentral
CUUGUUUUGGAUGUGAUUGCAGGUAUAGAAUUGUUGGGGGUGUUGUGGAGAUAAUUUUGAGCUAAAUAGGUUGACUGGAAUUGGAUUCCACCUUUGAUGUUUUGUGUUAAACUUGAGGAUUGUUUGGUUUGAGUUUUUUUUUGGAAUUUUGGUGUAGUUAUUGUUAUUUUGGAUAGUAUGGAUUAUAAAUUUUAUGGGUGAAUCUCUUGAUAAUUUACUAUCAAUGUUAUUGUGAAAUUGUUCUAUUUUGUGGAGGAGUUUGGAAUGGAGAUUGUGUUUUGGAAAAGAAAAUUUAGAGAGGAGUUAAAUUUUAGAGAUGGAAUUGUGAGUGGAAAUGGGGAAAAUUAAGAUUGAAUGUGGAAAUGUUUGGAAAGGAUUUUUAUGAUAAUUGGUGGUAUUUUUGUGAUGAAGGAAGUGAGAUUAAAUUGAUUUAGUUAUCGAACGGUCCUUGUGAAGGUUUAGAUUAAGUGAAGUCAUUGAAUGGUUAAGGAAUCGAUUGAGUGGUUAUGAGUUAGAGGGCAUUGAGAUUGUAAGGAAUUAUAGAAUUUAAUUCCGAAUAGAAGUGUGGAAUUUUAUAAUAAUUUGUGAUUAAUAGACGCUUAUUCCGAGGGGAAUGGGUUGUUUUGAGAGACGUACUGAGCCCUCGAGCGAGGAGGACACAGACAGGCAGCAGGGUUAG